AACGAACGUUAGCGGCGCGCCUAACACAUGCAAGUCGAACGCGACAGGGGCAACUCUGUUGAGUGGCGCACGGGUGAGUAACACGUAGGUAAUCUCCCCCGAGUGGUGGAUAACCUUCCGAAAGGAGGGCUAAUACAGCAUAAGACCACGGUCUCGAAAGAGGCUGAGAUCAAAGCGGAGGAUCGUAAGACUUCGCGCUUGGGGAUGAGCCUGCGGCCCAUCAGGUAGUUGGCGGAGUAACAGCCCACCAAGCCUAAGACGGGUAGCUGG
RNAcentral lists this ribosomal RNA (270 nucleotides) under uncultured bacterium. RNAcentral's name for it is "partial 16S ribosomal RNA". It matches the Rfam family "Bacterial small subunit ribosomal RNA", at positions 29 to 290 of the family's 1533-position model. The record is from RNAcentral.